AAUCCAUAGGUUAAUGAGGCGAACCGGGGGAACUGAAACAUCUAAGUACCCCGAGGAAAAGAAAUCAACCGAGAUUCCCCCAGUAGCGGCGAGCGAACGGGGAGGAGCCCAGAGCCUGAAUCAGCAUGUGUGUUAGUGGAAGCGUCUGGAAAGGCGCGCGAUACAGGGUGACAGCCCCGUACACAAAAGCGCAUGUGCUGUGAGCUCGAUGAGUAGGGCGGGACACGUGGUAUCCUGUCUGAAUAUGGGGGGACCAUCCUCCAAGGCUAAAUACUCCUGACUGACCGAUAGUGAACCAGUACCGUGAGGGAAAGGCGAAAAGAACCCCGGCGAGGGGAGUGAAAAAGAACCUGAAACCGUGUACGUACAAGCAGUGGGAGCCCCACCACCAAAGCAUUUGCUGUACCGCGUUGACGGAGCGAAGCGACGUCAAACCGAUAAAACAGCAGUGUAAAGUGAGCCGCAGGGCGCUUUGCGCGACAGCGCAAAGGCAGGCGGUUUCGCGUAGCGAAAGCGAAUGCUUUGGGGUGGGGUGACUGCGUACCUUUUGUAUAAUGGGUCAGCGACUUAUAUUCUGUAGCAAGGUUAACCGAAUAGGGGAGCCGGAGGGAAACCGAGUCUUAAUUGGGCGUUAAGUUGCAGGGUAUAGACCCGAAACCCGGUGAUCUAGCCAUGGGCAGGUUGAAGGGUGGGUAACACUAACUGGAGGACCGAACCGACUAAUGUUGAAAAAUUAGCGGAUGACCUGUGGCUGGGGGUGAAAGGCCAAUCAAACCGGGAGAUAGCUGGUUCUCCCCGAAAGCUAUUUAGGUAGCGCCUCGUGAAUUCAUCUCCGGGGGUAGAGCACUGUUUCGGCUAGGGGGCCAUCCCGGCUUACCAACCCGAUGCAAACUGCGAAUACCGGAGAAUGUUAUCACGGGAGACACACGGCGGGUGCUAACGUCCGUCGUGAAGAGGGAAACAACCCAGACCGCCAGCUAAGGUCCCAAAGUCAUGGUUAAGUGGGAAACGAUGUGGGAAGGCCCAGACAGCCAGGAUGUUGGCUUAGAAGCAGCCAUCAUUUAAAGAAAGCGUAAUAGCUCACUGGUCGAGUCGGCCUGCGCGGAAGAUGUAACGGGGCUAAACCAUGCACCGAAGCUGCGGCAGCGACACUGUGUGUUGUUGGGUA
RNAcentral lists this ribosomal RNA (1168 nucleotides) under Salmonella enterica subsp. enterica serovar Enteritidis. RNAcentral describes it as "partial 23S ribosomal RNA". It matches the Rfam family "Bacterial large subunit ribosomal RNA", at positions 161 to 1230 of the family's 2925-position model. The record is from RNAcentral. Lineage: Bacteria; Pseudomonadati; Pseudomonadota; Gammaproteobacteria; Enterobacterales; Enterobacteriaceae.